AGCAUGUGCCUCUGGCCCCGGCCAACUCCACAUGGCGGAAAGGAGCAAUGCCGGCCCCCGUGUGUGUCCCUGCACUAGAUCUGGGUGAGUCCAAACCAAAGCAAGCCCACUAGCCAGUCAAACCCGGCGGGAUACCGAGGAGAAAGCUGUUCUGACAGCACCUCAAAGACAGGAGCGUGGCCGUGCAUCCCUAGCAGGCUACAGACUGAGGCUGAAAGACAGGAGUGUGGCCGUGCGUCCCUAGCAGGCUGCAGACUGAGGCUGAAAGACAGGAGUGUGGCCGUGCGUCCCUAGCAGGCUGCAGACUGAGGUUGCAGCGAGCGCGCCAUGCAGUCGCAUUCCUCCUCCCAAAACCGCUGCACGCUGAUUGGGGGGAAAUGCAGACGUGUCAUUAUGCAGGUGCCACUGACAGCUGGGACUGCUGGACUGGCAGAAAGGAGACACAGCUGCCACUCACCAGUGAGAAGAAGCAAUACAGCCUGGCACCAAAUGUGAACUUUAAGUGCAAGUGGGAACACGAUGCACUUCAUUAAAAAAAAA
Molecule: long non-coding RNA, 540 nt
Filed under: Homo sapiens (human)
Lineage: Eukaryota; Metazoa; Chordata; Mammalia; Primates; Hominidae
Description: HSALNT0383946
Source: RNAcentral